UACGUAGGGGGCUAGCGUUGCUCGGAAUCACUGGGCGUAAAGCGCACGUAGGCGGAUCUUUAAGUCAGGGGUGAAAUCCUGGAGCUCAACUCCAGAACUGCCUUUGAUACUGGGGAUCUCGAGUCCGGAAGAGGUGAGUGGAACUGCGAGUGUAGAGGUGAAAUUCGUAGAUAUUCGCAAGAACACCAGUGGCGAGGGCGGCUCACUGGUCCGGUACUGACGCUGAGGUGCGAAAGCGUGGGGAGCAAACAGG
RNAcentral lists this ribosomal RNA (253 nucleotides) under uncultured bacterium. Its description in RNAcentral is "partial 16S ribosomal RNA". It matches the Rfam family "Bacterial small subunit ribosomal RNA", at positions 524 to 776 of the family's 1533-position model. The record is from RNAcentral.